This 429-nucleotide ribosomal RNA is filed under the name Verrucomicrobiota bacterium. RNAcentral describes it as "Verrucomicrobia bacterium partial 16S ribosomal RNA". It matches the Rfam family "Bacterial small subunit ribosomal RNA", at positions 355 to 776 of the family's 1533-position model. Lineage: Bacteria; Pseudomonadati; Verrucomicrobiota. The record is from RNAcentral.
UAGGGAAUCUUCCGCAAUGGACGAAAGUCUGACGGAGCAACGCCGCGUGAGUGAAGAAGGAUUUCGGUUCGUAAAACUCUGUUGUUAGGGAAGAAAAAAUGUAUAGUAACUAUAUACAAAAGAGACGGUACCUAACCAGAAAGCCACGGCUAACUACGUGCCAGCAGCCGCGGUAAUACGUAGGUGGCAAGCGUUGUCCGGAAUUAUUGGGCGUAAAGGGCGCGCAGGUGGUUUAGAAAGUCUGAUGUGAAAGCCCACGGCUCAACCGUGGAAGGUCAUUGGAAACUAAUAAACUUGAGUGCAGGAGAGAAAAGUGGAAUUCCUAGUGUAGCGGUGAAAUGCGUAGAGAUUAGGAGGAACACCGGUGGCGAAAGCGGCUUUUUGGCCUGCAACUGACACUGAGGCGCGAAAGCGUGGGGAGCAAACAGG